UUAAAAAUUAUUCAUUUUGUUUCGUUAAUGUAAUUUAAAAAUUAAAUUAUUUACUAGAAGCCCCGACAAGAAAUAAUUACAUUUUUUAUUUCAAAAAACUUGUUUUUUUUGUGUGUUUUUUUCUCAGGUUGGAGUGGUUAAUCUGUUCCUUUACAUGAUAAUGUAUACUCAGAUGCAUCUUGUAAUGUGCAAUUGCAAGUUUCCAAAUAUAUGCAAAGUAAAGUAAGUAAAGAAAACAAUACUUUUCAAUUAGUAAAUUCAGUAUUAUUUAUUAAUUUUAAUUUUUUACGUUUUUUAUCCUUAUUUUUAUAACAUGAUCAAUUAAAAUGCACUAGAACAUUGUUCUGGUGCAUUUUAAUUGAACGAAGUAUAGAAUUUUAAUUUAUUAACCUGGGUAAAUAAAUUUCCAAUUGAGAAAGUUGAUAGAGUUGCAGCAUUUUUAGAGAAAUAUCAAUGUUUCCCUAAUGUGCUAUUGGUAAAAAUUUUUUUUUUUUCAUUUGUGAUUUCAUAUAUUUAUUGGAUAAAAUGAAAUACCCAAAUACAAAUGAAAUACUCAAAUACAGGUAGGUAUGCAUGCAAACACAACCCUCAAAAUUAGUAAAACUAAAAUGAGUUAUAAAUUGUCGACAUUUUAAGAUAUGAAAAGAUAUUAUUGUUAAAUUUUGAGUUUGUAAAAUUUAUUUUCAGGUACAAGAAAUCCUUAUCUGUACGUAACAGACGAUGGAGACAAAGUGAUUAUUAUGUGUGGCAAAAGAUUAUUUCAUGAAGUUUUUCAUUUUCUGACUUCGUGAUGGAACUUAUUGGAGUACACUUUUUUUGGACAUGGGUGGAGUAUUGCCGCUACAAGCAUGAACAAUAAUGAAACAUUCCAAAGAAUAAUUUGUUAUUUCAACGAUUAGAUUUUUUGUUUAAAUGUAUAAAUGCUUGUUG
This is a non-coding RNA of Hydra vulgaris (swiftwater hydra), 930 nucleotides long. Lineage: Eukaryota; Metazoa; Cnidaria; Hydrozoa; Anthoathecata; Hydridae. The record is from RefSeq and is a predicted model, not a curated record.